GGAAGAUAAACAAUUUUAUUGCCAAUACCCUUAUUAACAUAAGAUUUUCUAAAAAAUUUCAAAGAGCCGCUCUUUGUUAACAUCUCAGAUAAGGCCUCGUGUUUGUACAAGCUAUUUGCAGUACAUAUUUGGAAAACAAAUGAUGGUACCUCCUUCCUCCUACAAAUUCUUUAUAAUCUAUAUAAUCUAUAUAAGUAUCGAGUGUUUUCUUUUCAUCUUUCGUCAGACUAUUCGACAAUCUCUUUGCGUCAGAAAAGGACAUGCGUAUAUGCAAGGCAGUCCGGAUGCAAUAAUUCAAGACUUUUACAGUCGUACCUGACUGACACUCCAAUGAUUAUUGACGCGUACAUGAGCUGGUACAAACUUAAGAUUCAAGGUGUACUCGGUCUUAAAAUGAAGCACAUAAAGCAUUCAGUAACCUGACACUAGGAGUUCCUUUGACAAUAUACAAUGCAAUAUGAUCUCAGAUGUAUCAUACCAUGAUUUCUUCAUCUCAAUGUGCAGUCUUGCAACCAGACAUGUUUCUUGUGCGCCCAACACAACGUUUCGCCUUUCAAAUUGUGUGAAAUUACAGCAUAAGUCCCACAGUUUAUGACAGAGAUUGUAGAUUAAGGAGCUCAAUUGCAUAUACAAACACUACCGUACAAUCAACUCCGACAUUCCUGAAGGCUGCUUUCCAGUUGAACGCUUGAAAUCUCUUCAGAUGUUACUUAUGAAAGAACUGAGUAAAAGAACAGCAUUUAGAUUUGUGUAGUUGUUCAGGUAUUAGUUAGUACUAAUAAUUUGAAUGAAAAGAAGGAAAAAGUCGCUUCGCGCGAACAAACUCGCCUAGUGGAAAAUGGGCUUAAUUGGAAUGUCACAUCUCAUCCCAUGAGUCCAAUCCAUUUAUGUUUGUCAUGUUUAAUGCCAAGUAGUCAUGUCUUAUACAUGAAAGUUCCGACUACAGUACAUUAUGGUACCGCGUAGACAUUGAUACUGGCGUACCUACGUAAGUACUGUACGCGAUUAAUCUCACUUAAGUAUAUGAAGGUAAACUCUCAAAAGAACAUCGAAGACGAUAAUUAAUAUCUAUCCGUAAGUAUAAUUUAAAACAAACAUUUUAUUAGCCAAACACUUUCAAACCUAGUACGAAAUUCUUAGAUUUAUCUUAUUGUCAACACGACUGAUCAUAUUUAAAACAUGGCUAACGUUUAUAACGUCUAUAUUGUCCUUCCAUCUACAGAGCGAAUAGAAUAAGAAAGGCCAUCAUAAGACAAAAUAGCCCCAUAGCUUCUGAUAAGGCGAAACCCAUAAUAGCAUACGAGAAUAACUGUGGUUUCAGAGAUGGAUUUCUUGCAUAGCCAAUUAUAAGACUGCCAAACACAGUUCCAAUUCCCGCUCCACUGCCUA
Molecule: non-coding RNA, 1389 nt
Organism: Paramuricea clavata
Lineage: Eukaryota; Metazoa; Cnidaria; Anthozoa; Malacalcyonacea; Plexauridae
Source: the annotation of a GenBank genome assembly